UACGGAGGGUGCGAGCGUUGUCCGGAAUCAUUGGGCGUAAAGGGCGCGUAGGUGGCGCGGCAAGCGUGCGGUGAAAAGCUCGGGGGCUCAACCCCCGAGUCGGCCGUGCGAACUGGGCUCACUGGAGCAUAGUAGAGGCAGGUGGAAUUCCGGGGUGUAGCGGUGGAAUGCGUAGAGAUCCGGAAGAACACCGGUGGCGAAGGCGGCCUGCUGGGCAGUAGCUGACGCUGAGGAGCAAAAGCGUGGGGGAGCGAACAGG
Molecule: ribosomal RNA, 259 nt
Filed under: uncultured bacterium
Lineage: Bacteria
Description: partial 16S ribosomal RNA
Rfam family: Bacterial small subunit ribosomal RNA
Source: RNAcentral